This 74-nucleotide transfer RNA is filed under the name Microbacterium sp. zg.B96. Its description in RNAcentral is "tRNA-Ala". It matches the Rfam family "tRNA". Rfam says of the family: Transfer RNA (tRNA) molecules are approximately 80 nucleotides in length. Their secondary structure includes four short double-helical elements and three loops (D, anti-codon, and T loops). The record is from RNAcentral. RNAcentral also lists the same sequence under 1 other name. Lineage: Bacteria; Bacillati; Actinomycetota; Actinomycetes; Micrococcales; Microbacteriaceae.
GGGCCCGUGGCGCAGCUGGUAGCGCACCUGCAUGGCAUGCAGGGGGGCAGGUCGCAGGCACAGCGGGCUCGCCA